CGGUCGGGUCUAUUGGACUGCACCUAGCCCAGCCUACGCUUGUUCACAUUUCCCAACCCUUCAGAUAUUUAGACAAUCUCAGAAAAAAGAUAGUGUAAUUAUCCUUUGGAAUAUAUUUUUUUUUAUGCCUUUUAUACAAUGAAUUUUUUUUUUUUCGAAUUAUACAAUGAAGUUAAUUCAAAAAAAAGAAAGAAAGGGCAUGCUUACUUUUUUUCUUAUUAUUAUUAUUUUUUAGGUGAUCUUGAACUUGGGUUAAAUGUUGAUUCGGAAAUUUUAUCGACCACACUGUCUUAAUGAUACUGAAUCCUCUAUUUUCGUUUAAUUAAUAACGCAUUAAUAUGACCUUACAAUUCCGAAAAAAUAAAAAAUAAAAAAAUAAUAUGAUCUUCCAAGAAAAAAAGAAGAAGGUAAUUACUACGUGUUACUUUGCACGGCGUCGUUCUUGUGCAAAAUGCAUUUCUCUCUCUUGGAUUUCCUUCUCUCUUCCCCAUUCAAAACCUCUUCAUUGCACUCAUUUUAAAUCUAAGAAACCCAAAUCGAUUCAAUUCUCUUUACCCAUAUUUUUCUUGGUUUUUGAUUGUUGUGAAUAGAAAGAGAUCGUGCGUGAGGGAGUCCCAAGGUUUUCAAUUGGAGUCCGCAGUUUGAGUUCGUCGGCAUUAGUCGGGUUUGCCGCCUCCACCGCCACAUCGCCACCAUAGCCGGCGGUGGCACUCCUAAGGGUCUUCUUUCACUUCUAGAUAUGGUCAUUCUGUUACCAAGAUCAAGGAACUGAUGCUACAAGCAUGCCGUCCUUUUCUCAGUUUGUUGCCUCCAAUGGCAAUAUGUUCUGGGGAUGGUUCUUUCUCAUAUUUGGCUCUAUAUUCUUUCUAGGUUUCUUCUACACAGCAAUUAUGUCAAAGUUUCUUCCACCAUCAGAGAAUGUUUUCUUAUCUGCCAUUCAAAAUGAUAGGUAAAAUUCUGUUGCACUGGGUUCCAUCUCUAGACAAAUUAUUGAAAAAUUUGACAUUGCUGAUUCCUAUAUUAAGCAAUGUAAUAUUCUUCUAAUUUUCUAAACUAUUGUUUACCCAAGGGAAUGAUGUGUUUCGCUCAAUGUUCGGCAAAUUAGCUAGUUUUGAAUUAUUAUUGUAGCACUGUAUUGUCACACUUCUUAAUAUUGAAAUCAUAUACUUGCUUCUGUUUAUUGUA
Molecule: long non-coding RNA, 1185 nt
Organism: Cornus florida
Lineage: Eukaryota; Viridiplantae; Streptophyta; Magnoliopsida; Cornales; Cornaceae
Exons: 2
Source: RefSeq, a predicted model, not a curated record